GAUAAACAGCUAGCAGCAGAACCUGCAGCCACCCCUAAGCAGAAUACGCAAUUGCUCUUACUUUCUAAAUAUCCAGGAGGGGCGUUUUCCUUCUUGAAAUGGCCUCUAUGCUUAGGAGCAGCAGAGGGAGAGAUGGAGGAGGAGAAAGCACGCAGGGCAGAAUUUUCAACAAGUUUUGGCUGAAGCUGAACGCAGAGCGCAACGACAAUCGAGAACAGUCCACGAAGAUGCCAAUGACUUCCUGACACAAAAAGGCCUAGAUGCGCCACGCCGGCAUCCCCGGGUGAUCCGCCAGUGGCUGGAGCUCCAGGAACACUGCUGAAGAUAGAGGCAACAGUAACCUGCUUGGAAAGAAUUUGCCAGAAUUCCUGGAAGAUGCCUCAGUAGACAAGUGUGAGGAAGAUGUACGCAAACUCCCUUACACUGGGCAAAUAGCUGUCAAUUAUGAUGGGAAGGUAGAUUUUGAGAUAAAUAGUAAGAAGAAUCUCUUCACGGGUUAAAGGCUUUGAUAAUUGAAGCAAAUUUCUGUUUGUUUAUUUGAGAGACAGAAGGUGUGCUCCCGUUUGCUGAGUCCCUCCCCAAACGCCCACAGGCUGAAGCUGGGAGCCCAGAAUGCGAUCACCUCUUCCAUGUGGGUGACAGGGACCCAGGUUCUUGAGCCGUCCGCACUGUCUCCUAGAGCGCACAUUAGCUGGAAGCUGGAACAGGAAGUGGAGCCCGGAACAGGAAGUGGAGCCCCGACUUGAACCCAGACACUCCUAAGUGGACGGAGGCCUCCUAAGUGGCAUCUUAUAAGCUAAGCCAAACACCAGGCCCUGUGAAAGCAUAUGAACUUAUAUCUGUACAGAACAGAUAUAUUGUAACUAUUGUUGUAACAUGAGCAAUUUCCAUAUGUUCACAAUUCUUAAUGACUGUGUAGUCCAUAAUAUUGAUAUAGAAUAGCUUUCUUAACCCCAAGCUUUAGGAAAAUGCAUUUUCUAACCCACUUAAUAUAAGCAACAUUGCUUUAAUCUUAUUCAACAAAGUACUUCUUGAGGCAGUAAGUGGGAAGAGUAUUUCUUUUGGAUAUAUUCUGAAAUAUGGGGUUAUUGAGUUAAAAGAAAUCACAUGCUUCUUCUUAUAUUUUCACAUAUUUCUUUGUGUAACAACCAAAAACUUAUGAAAAAUGCAGAAGCGUUCUUGUCUUUUAACUUCCUCUCAUUGGCACUGCAUUUUUAAAUUAUUUUUAGUUACUUAAGUAGAGUGAGGAAGAUUUAAGAUGUGGAAUUUACCCACAGGAAAAAAAAGAAUUUGGGUCACUUUGGUUAUUAAUCCAGUAGAGGCCUUAAAGCUAUUUCCUUCCCAAUGGGUCUCUCAAUUCUUUUAAGCUAAUUUUGUGGUAAUCAAAAAAUUAUCUUACAUUAUAAUAAUGCUUAGAAAAAUCAAUGUAUAAGCAUUGUUUUGCUGGGAUAGGUCAGCGAAGUUGAUUUAAGAACAUCGUUGGAAAGAGGAGUCAAACUUUGAAUAGAGCCUAAGGAUGGCCAUUGUUGGGCAUUCUUGUAGGAAGGAGAAACUGUCCAAGCUUUCUAAAGGAAUGGGAUGCAAUGUCCCAAGCAGACCCUUAACCGCUGCACCAGAUGCCCACACUUGCCAUUUAUUUAUUUAUUUUUAAUGUCAUUUUGGACACCAUCUGGACCAGUCUUUACCUAAAAGUUUGCAGAAAUCAUCAUGGUGGCUGGUCUGCAAAGAAGGGCUCCUAGUGAACUAAACCUUCUGGUGUAAAAGCCCAUAAGAAGUCUCCCCCUACGGUGAAUCUGAGCUGGCCCCGUGUAACACAGGGCCUGCAGCAGUGUUGAUGCUGUGGCACUUCUAAGGACAGAUCACACGAUUUGCAGCUUCUGUCUCAGUCUCUUGAAAUGCUUACUCGGGCAUGGUGCGGCACUGUGGUAUAGCAGAUAAAGUCACCACUUGCAGCAUUGGCAUCCCAUAUGUUCACAGGUUCAAGUCCCAGCUGUUCCAAUUCAGCUCCCUGCUAGUGCACUUGGGAAAGCAGCUGAGGAUGGCCCAUGUGCUUGGGCCCUUGCACCCGUGUGGGAGACCCGGAGGAAGCUCCUGUCUGUUGGCUUUGGACUCACCCAACUCCUGAUGUUGUGGCCAUUUAGGGAGUGAAGUAGUGGAUGGAAGAUCUCUCUGUUUCUCUCUGUCUCUCCCUAUCUCUCUUUCUGAAACUCUGCCUUUCAAAUAAGCAAAUCUUAAAAGAAAAAGAAAUGCUUACUCUGUGGGAACCAAAUAUCCAUGUAAGAAAUUUGCUUUGAGCCCACCAUGCUGUGAGAAGGCCCAGUCUCAUCUCAUAGAGAGGACAGGUGAAGAAAUACAUCCUGACCAGACCAGCACGCCGCCCCCCUUGCCCCACUGUUCUUGUCUACCCAGGUCAGGUGCAAAUGAAACUUAGAUGUCCAAUCUGAUCAAACCUGUGGUUGAUUUCAGCCCUACUAUCUCAUGCCAAAGCAUGAAAAACCCCAAGUAGAAAUUCAAUGAACUCAGAACUGUGACAUAGGACAAAUCUGGGGGGCAAUUUAAGAUUCAUUUUAUUUUUUUUUUAAAUACAGUUACAGACAGAGGUAGAGACAGAGAGAGAGAGGUCUUCCAUCUGCUGGUUCACUCCCCAGAUGGCCACAACGGCCGGAGCUGCACCGAUCUGAAGCCAGGAGCCAGGAGCUUCUUCCGGGUCUCCCAUGUGGGUGCAGGAGCCCAAGGACUUGGGCCAUCUUCUACUGCUUUCCCAGGCCAUAGUAAAGAGCUGGAUUGAAAGUGGAGCAGCAGGGUCUGGAACCAGCGCCCAUAUGGGAUGCCAGUGCUUCAGGCCAGGGCUUUAACCUGCUGCGCCAUAGUGCUGGCCCCUACUUUAAGACUUUUAAA
Molecule: long non-coding RNA, 2898 nt
Organism: Lepus europaeus (European hare)
Lineage: Eukaryota; Metazoa; Chordata; Mammalia; Lagomorpha; Leporidae
Exons: 3
Source: RefSeq, a predicted model, not a curated record